RNAcentral lists this long non-coding RNA (1194 nucleotides) under Anas zonorhyncha (Eastern spot-billed duck). Its description in RNAcentral is "lncRNA (ENSAZOG00000015922.1)". The record is from RNAcentral. Lineage: Eukaryota; Metazoa; Chordata; Aves; Anseriformes; Anatidae.
AUGGAGCACCGCGUCCUGUGGGACCUCACGGUGGCCGAGCGCAGGCUGCAAACAUCUGCGCUUGGUGCUGUAGCAGUGUUGCAAUGCUUCCUCUUGGCACUCAGGGGUUGUCAACAGCCAGCACCAGCACAGCCAAACCGUGGAAAAGGAGACGGUUCAUCCAUGCGAGAGGCUUCCUGCGAGCCAAGGACCGGGCAGCUCAGCCCUCAUGCUGUUGUCGCAGUUAUUUAUUUACCUGCACUCAGGUCGUGCCUGGGCUAUCACCACAGCCCCCCGAGCCCCCCAGUAGGGCCAGGGUCUCAAUGGCGACCCCAAAUCAGACCCCAGACCCUGCCUGGAGGGAGAAGGAGGCGGAGAGCAGGGACCAAAGCGGAGCCUGGGGCCGGGAGACCCUUGGGGGCCGCGCCAUGGCCGCUCUCCCCGGGGGCCGUGCUGCGGGUGGGAGCGGCGGCGGCCGGCAGGUGGCCCCCGUGGCCGCCCUCCCCUCACCCCGGGGGGCUGCUGGGGGGCUGCAUUUCCCUGCCUUCCCCUGCCCUGCCGGCCGUGGGCGCCACGGUUCCCCUCUCGGGAGUUGCGGAGGCCGGGGGAGGGCACCCUCCCUCCAUCCAUCCCUCCCUCCCUCCUUCAUCCUGCCGCGGCGAGGGGGAAGGAGGGCGGGCAGCCCCCGCCCGGCUCCCUCCUCCUCCCUUCUUCUUCUCCUCCCUCCCUCCCUGCCUGCCUGCCUGCCUCGGGGCUGGCUUCCUCCCCGGGAAAUGCCCCUCCCGGCCGCUCUCUGAAGAUCCCCAUCCCCUUUUCCCUCCGCUCUCGCACGGCACCCCGGCGCAGGGCCAGCCCUCUUCGCCCUCCUCCUCCUCCUCCUCCUCCUCCUCCUCCUCCUUCUCCCCCGCCCCGCGGCUCGCAUGCUCGCCCGGCCCUGCGGAGGGGCGGCCAGCCGCUGAAGCAGCCCCGCCGCCCGGCAUGGCCGAGGAGAGCUCCGAGCUCCCCCGGGAGCUGAUAGGUGAGGGCCGGGGGUGCCGGGCGGGGGGCACCGGGGGGNNNNNNNNNNUCCGGGGGGGCUCUCCAGUGGGGGUGCAGGCUGGUGGGGGUCCUGGGGGGCUCCCGGGGGUCCCCCGGGGCAGGGACACGCGUGGGGAAGGGCCGGUAGCAGCCCUGCUGUCAGCCUCCAAGCUGCGCCCGGGGGGGGGGGUUACAUGA